GGUCCGAGUUGUAAUUUUGAGAACUGUUUUCUGUGCUGGACCAUGUACAAGUCUGUUGAAAAACAGCAUCAUUGAGGGUGAAAAUCCCGUACAUGAUAUGGACUACCAGGGCAAUAUGAUACAGUCUCUAAGAGUCGAGUUGUUUGGGAAUGCAGCUCAAAGUGGGUGGUAAAUUCCAUCUAAGGCUAAAUAUAGGUGAGAGACCGAUAGCAAACAAGUACCGUGAGGGAAAGAUGAAAAGAACUUUGGAAAGAGAGUUAACAGUACGUGAAAUUGCUAAAAGGGAAACAGUUAAAGUUAGACUUGUUAUUGUUGGAUCAGCUUCUUUAUUGAGGUGUACUCUGAUGAUUAACAGACCAGCAUCAAUUUUUGAGUG
RNAcentral lists this ribosomal RNA (376 nucleotides) under Pucciniastrum minimum. Its description in RNAcentral is "Thekopsora minima partial large subunit ribosomal RNA". It matches the Rfam family "Eukaryotic large subunit ribosomal RNA", at positions 135 to 515 of the family's 3401-position model. The record is from RNAcentral. Lineage: Eukaryota; Fungi; Basidiomycota; Pucciniomycetes; Pucciniales; Pucciniastraceae.